RNAcentral lists this transfer RNA (73 nucleotides) under Diaphorina citri (Asian citrus psyllid). It matches the Rfam family "tRNA". From Rfam's summary of the family: Transfer RNA (tRNA) molecules are approximately 80 nucleotides in length. Their secondary structure includes four short double-helical elements and three loops (D, anti-codon, and T loops). The record is from Rfam by way of RNAcentral. Lineage: Eukaryota; Metazoa; Arthropoda; Insecta; Hemiptera; Psyllidae.
GCCUAGUUAGCUUGGAGGGUAGCGCGCCUGCCUUGUAACCGUUAGGUCGCGGGUUCAAUUCCCGCACGGGGCG